CAGUAGCCGCGGUAAUACAGAGGGUGCGAGCGUUAAUCGGAUUUACUGGGCGUAAAGCGUGCGUAGGCGGCUUUUUAAGUCGGAUGUGAAAUCCCUGAGCUUAACUUAGGAAUUGCAUUCGAUACUGGGAAGCUAGAGUAUGGGAGAGGAUGGUAGAAUUCCAGGUGUAGCGGUGAAAUGCGUAGAGAUCUGGAGGAAUACCGAUGGCGAAGGCAGCCAUCUGGCCUAAUACUGACGCUGAGGUACGAAAGCAUGGGGAGCAAACAGGAUUAGAGACCCGUGUAGUCCCUGUCUCUUAUAC
This 301-nucleotide ribosomal RNA is filed under the name uncultured bacterium. Its description in RNAcentral is "partial 16S ribosomal RNA". It matches the Rfam family "Bacterial small subunit ribosomal RNA", at positions 509 to 807 of the family's 1533-position model. The record is from RNAcentral.